This 654-nucleotide ribosomal RNA is filed under the name uncultured bacterium. RNAcentral's name for it is "bacterial SSU rRNA". It matches the Rfam family "Bacterial small subunit ribosomal RNA", at positions 94 to 743 of the family's 1533-position model. The record is from RNAcentral.
AGCGGCGGACGGGUGCGUAACACGUAGGAAUCUGCCCGGUAGUGGGGGAUAGCCCGGAGAAAUUCGGAUUAAUACCGCAUACGCCCUAAGGGGGAAAGCAGGGGAUCUUCCGACCUUGCGCUAUCGGAUGAGCCUGCGUCGGAUUAUCUUGUUGGUGGGGUAAAGGCCUACCAAGGCUACGAUCCGUAGCUGGUCUGAGAGGAUGAUCAGCCACACUGGGACUGAGACACGGCCCACACUCCUACGGGAGGCAGCAGUGGGGAAUAUUGCACAAUGGGCGCAAGCCUGAUGCAGCUAUGCCGCGUGUGUGAAGAACGCCUUAGGGUUGUAAAGCACUUUCAGUAGGGAGGAGAGGUUUACGGUUAAUACCCGUGAGCUGUGACGUUACCUACAGAAGAAGCACCGGCUAACUCCGUGCCAGCAGCCGCGGUAAUACGGAGGGUGCGAGCGUUAAUCGGAAUUACUGGGCGUAAAGCGUGCGUAUGCGGCUAUUUAAGUUGGAUGUGAAAGCCCCGGGCUCAACCCGGGAACUGCAUCCGAAACUGAGUGGCUAGAGUACGGGAGAGGAGUGUGGAAUUUCCUGUGUAGCGGUGAAAUGCGUAGAUAUAGAGAAAGAACACCAGUGGCGAAUGCGACACUCUGGCCUGAUACUGA